UGAACCUGACCUGCCGGUACAAAUGCAGGCAUAAAAAAACAAGACAAAAAGACCCUGUGAAGCUUUAAAUGUAAAUCAACAAGCUGAUCAACACAUUUUUGGUUGGGGCAACCAAAGAAAAAUAUAAACCUCACAACCAGUCACAAGGCCAACAAGCCAACUGACAAGACAACAUACACCCAGUAUUACUGAUCAAAGAACCAAGUUACUCCAGGGAUAACAGCGCUACAUUCUUGAAAAGUCCAUAUCAACAAAAAUACCUACAACCUCGAUGUUGGAUUAGGGUACCCAGAUGGCGCAAAAGUUAUCAACGGUUCGUGUGUUCAACGAUUAAAA
RNAcentral lists this ribosomal RNA (336 nucleotides) under Coryphophylax subcristatus. RNAcentral's name for it is "partial 16S ribosomal RNA". It matches the Rfam family "Bacterial large subunit ribosomal RNA", at positions 2037 to 2593 of the family's 2925-position model. Lineage: Eukaryota; Metazoa; Chordata; Lepidosauria; Squamata; Agamidae. The record is from RNAcentral.